UACGAAGGGGGCUAGCGUUGUUCGGAAUCACUGGGCGUAAAGCGCACGUAGGCUGAUUGGUCAGUUGGGGGUGAAAUCCCGUGGCUCAACCUCGGAACUGCCUUAAAUACUGCCAGUCUUGAGUACGAGAGAGGUGAGUGGAAUUCCUAGUGUAGAGGUGAAAUUCGUAGAUAUUAGGAAGAACACCAGUGGCGAAGGCGGCUUACUGGCUCGGUACUGACGCUGAGGUGCGAAAGCGUGGGGAGCAAACAGG
RNAcentral lists this ribosomal RNA (253 nucleotides) under uncultured bacterium. Its description in RNAcentral is "partial 16S ribosomal RNA". It matches the Rfam family "Bacterial small subunit ribosomal RNA", at positions 524 to 776 of the family's 1533-position model. The record is from RNAcentral.